RNAcentral lists this unclassified non-coding RNA (692 nucleotides) under Hevea brasiliensis (rubber tree). The record is from RNAcentral. Lineage: Eukaryota; Viridiplantae; Streptophyta; Magnoliopsida; Malpighiales; Euphorbiaceae.
ACCCGCUUGGAGAUUGAUUUCCCGUAGCUUCCGUUUCCUUGUACUUUUUAAUUUUUGGCUUCCAUUAUUGGCUUCUCCCGUCUUUAAGAUAUACCCUUUAUUUUACGUUAUGUUAUGUUAUCUUAGCUUCCAAUUUGUUAAUAGCAAUACCCAUCUCUUAAUUUUCACUCUACAAGGAUGGCUGGGGUGAAAUAGUAUUUAAACUUGCUGUUCACUAGCUUUGAGAACGGAAAUGUGUUUGGCUGAAAUUUGAUUUUGGGCAUGGGUUUGCAAAGUCGGUCAUCUGUACCUGUUAUGACUUUCCUCUAAAUUUUGGAUGGUUAUUAGCCUUUGCGCAGUCAUACCCUUCAGGGUUGUUAUGAGUAUUAACAUGAAAAUGAUUGGGUCUCUCUUCCUUGUGAUGCUUAAAUUGGCAAAAUGAGGAAAAAUAUUAUGUGAGUCUAGUUUUUAAUGGAAUGACAAAGAGAACUAUUGUACCUCAUGCUUGAUAAUUUUUAAUGUUAAUUUUGCCAUGUCAAAGUAUUUGUUUUAUAAUAUAUUAAAGUGUAGCCCAUGCUCUUGCAAACUUUUUUUCUUCCUCAGAUACCUCUUUUUCAUGGAUAGUGGUUGGUUCCCUUUGAGAUGGAUGGUCCUGUCUCCCGUGAUAUUUUCAUGCCAUUUUGGCUGGUUAAUGGAAAAAACAUCUUUCUGUA